RNAcentral lists this transfer RNA (87 nucleotides) under Persicirhabdus sediminis. RNAcentral describes it as "tRNA-Tyr". It matches the Rfam family "tRNA". From Rfam's summary of the family: Transfer RNA (tRNA) molecules are approximately 80 nucleotides in length. The record is from RNAcentral. Lineage: Bacteria; Pseudomonadati; Verrucomicrobiota; Verrucomicrobiia; Verrucomicrobiales; Verrucomicrobiaceae.
GGGUAGGUGGCCGAGUGGUUAAAGGCGGCAGACUGUAAAUCUGCUCACGUAAUGUGUACGCUGGUUCGAAUCCAGCCCUGCCCACCA